Molecule: long non-coding RNA, 11394 nt
Organism: Acinonyx jubatus (cheetah)
Lineage: Eukaryota; Metazoa; Chordata; Mammalia; Carnivora; Felidae
Exons: 4
Source: RefSeq, a predicted model, not a curated record
GAUCAUGGCCCAUACUUUUCAAUUCUCUGUCCACCUGCAGCCGACUCCACUUUAUGUACUGACUCCACAAAUGUGGAGCCCCUGACCUCAGGCUGGUUACAGCCCAAUGAAGAAACACAGCAACAGCCUUACAACACAACACAAGCCAUGGAGAGAGGCCCUGUAAGGCUCCCAAGCUCAAAACUCAUAGCCCAAGCUUUGACCAAGAGGUGAAAUUUAUUCUUGCCAUUAACCAAAUGUUAUGGGAACAGCCAGAACAACCUGAAUAGCAGGAGGCGGAGAAGAUCCUAGCACUUCCCUAAACCAUUCAUUUGUGAGCAAUUUCAAAUAAUGACCAAUUUUCCUGGGGAGAGGGGUAAACGAGAAGAAAAACCAAGUCCAAAGGUCUUAAUUCUGAGGGGAUGAAGAGGCUUGGCCUGUGUGGACAGAUAGUGUGCUUUCAUGGAAAGGCAAGACUUUUCUUUGAGAUAUACAGGAUUGGAAGCAGGGAAGAGGCUAAAGAUGUAGGCUGGGGAGGAGUGGAGUGGGAAGCAAUUCUCUGUCCUCCCUAUAGGCCUUCCUUUGUGGAAAAGAUCACUUAUAGAGAUUGGAAUGGCUACAGGAAAUAGAGACUGGGAUUCUGUUGAAAAACUGGAUAGGGAUGGCGACUGUCCCUUUGUCUCUGAGCUAGAGGUGGCAGUGGAAUAGCCUGUAUCCCUGAGACUUGGAUGCCAAGGUUCCAGGGGGACCUGAAGGUCAAGUGGACACAACGGGAGCAGCAUUUGUGCCACAUUGUCUCCCCAGUGCCAUGUCUAAGCAGGUGCCCACCAGAUGAGAGAACCCUGCAGGGGGCUAUAGGGAUCGUAUUAUGAAAACUGUGUUGGAUCCAACUGUGUUGGAUCAACAGCCAGGAUGAGUUUGCUUCACACUCACAGGUGAGGGUGAGCUUUGUCCUGUUCUGGAAAAGUCACCUUCUGGAACUACCUUACCUUUUCAUGGAAUCUGCAGUCUCUUGCAUAUAUGGAUCACUAGUGCUUCAUUUAAAGUGGAGUUCUUUCAUUUUGCUGCAGUCACUUACUAAAAACACACACUGGAAUCCAGUAUUGUACCCAAUCUUGGGCAAUAAACAUAAUAAUAUAAAUAUAUUAUAUAAAUGCAAUAAAUAAUAUGGGACUAAAGGCACUGUCCAAAUGCCCUUUAAAAUUUAUUUCAUUUCCUCCUCUAAAAGGAAGGUUUUUGAACUUUAAAAUCCUUGGAUAUGAUGGGUCACCUGGGUGGCUCAGUUGGCCCAGCAUAGGAGUUCCACUCAAGUCAUAAUUUCAUGGUUUGUGGGAUCGAGCCUCACAUAAAGCUUUUUGCACUGACAAUGCAGAGCCUGCUUCAGAUUCUCUGUCUCCCUCUCUCUGCCUCUCCCCUGUUCACACUCCCUCUCUCAAAAAUAAAUAAACAUUAAAAAAAAUCCUUGGAGAUUACCUGGUGUAAUUCCUCAGAGCAAUCCCAAAUGGUUUUGAAAGAGUCAUUAUUUCUCUCAUGCAGUGAACAUACUAUGUUUUUACUUAGGAAGAAGAAGAAAAAAUGUUUACAGUCUCACUUUGAACUUUAAAAAAUUCCUUUAACAAUUAGCUCUUGAUUCAGAAAUUAUAAAUAAAACUGUUUUAUCAUCCAAUGUUACUGAAACAUUGUGUCCUGUGAGUUUUAGUCUGUAUUGUUCCAGGAAUUUAAUUUUUAUUUUGCACUCUUUUGUAAAAAAAAAAAAAAAAAAAAAAAAAAAAAAAGCUUAUAAAUCCAAAGCCUAAAUAUUUAUUGUCCUACACCAAUUGCUCUGAUCUCCACUGUGCCUCCAAAUUUUUCAUUUAUCGAUAGAUGAGAUGGAUUUGCUGUGCUUUUUUAGUGGACAAUACCAAAUAACACCUGGAUCUGAAACUGAUCCUGACUGUAAUUUUGAAAGGCAUAUAAAGGCUUGAAGCUUCAAUGUCUUUAGCUGUAAGAUGGACAUAAUAAAAGUACCUAACUUGUAGAGCUGUUAUGGGAUUUAUAUGAGAGAAUGAAUGUAAAGUCUGGUGUGGCAGAGAAUACUAUAUAAUUCACCAUUUCUGUUUCGUCUUCAUGAACGUGAGACAUAUUUUCAACCUUCCUUGUACUGGUUUGGGGCUAUGUGACUGGGCUCUGGCUUGGGCUAUUUCCAGCCCUGGCUACCCAGCCUGGCUACCAUAGAGGACCUAUGUCCCAAGUCAUGUAUUAAACACAGGAUAGUGCCCUAAACCACAUAGGACUUUAUGUAAGCAAGAAACCAACCUUUAUUUGUAAAGAUUUAGGGUUUCUUUGUUACUGCAACAUUGCCUGGACUACCCUGACUAAUACACUUGAGAUAGAUAGAUAGAUAGAUAGAUCACAGUAAAUGAAUUUCAGCAUUUAAGUUAUCUGUGAACCAGUAUGGAACAAUUCCUUGGAUAUAUUUUAUUAAGAAAAAAAUCUAGACAAAGAACAAGAAUAUAUAGUAUUCAUUUUGUGUAAGAAAGAAGGGGCAAUUAAAAUAUAUAUUUGACUCGAAUAACACAGUUUGAACUGCAUGGGCCCACUUAUACAUGGAUUUGUUUUCUAUAAAUACAGUACAGUAUAGUAAAUCUAUUUUCUCUUCCUUAUGAUUUUCUUAAUAACCUUUUCUCUAGCUUACUUUUUAAUAGGAAUAUAGUAUAUAAUGCUUAUUAUAGUAAGGUAUUAAUAGUUAAGUUUUGGAGGAGUCAAAAGUUGUAUAUGGAUUUUCAACUACACGGGGGGUCAGUGCCCCUAACCCUCGUGUUGUUCAAGGAUCAACUAUAUCUAUGUAUUUGCUAAUUUUGGCAAAAAGAAAUACCAGAAAGGAGAAACCAGAAAUUAAUGAAAAUGAAACAGAGUGGAGAGGAUAAUGCAUGGGAGUGAGGCUUCUGUGACUAAAUGUGUUGAUACAGUGUUGAUUUUUGAAGCAUGUAUUUUAUAUACUCUGAAACAAAAGUACAACAAAAGGGAAAUGCCUUAAGCCUGGACCUUAAAAGAAACUAAUGACCUAAUUCUAUAUAAAAUUAGUUACUGAACCAACAAUGAACAAGAAAGUUAUUUUGGGUAAUUUGAACACACCACUCUCACUAUAAAUACAUUAAUAUUAUUGGGAACCAAGAAUUUUCAAUAUGAAAGAGAAAAGAUAAAAUAUAAAAAGCAUUUUAAGAAAAAUGCUAUUUAAUAAUGCCAAUAACAAUAUGAACACACACACACACAUAUAUAUAUACACACACACACAUACACACACACACACACACACACACUCCUAGUUGUGUUCCUGAAGAGCCCAGAGGCAAUGGCAUCAUAGUAUAGUAGCAGUGGGCACAGCUAGGCCCCAUAUCUUGCAACUUCUGAUGUAAUAAUUGGUUCAGGCAAGAAUAAUCAAUGAGUAGUAAAACCAUCACAUAAAAAGUAGUUAGGAACACCUGGGUGGCUCAGUUGUUAAGCAUUUGACUUCAGCUCAGGUCAUGAGCUCACGGUUCAUGACUUUGAGUCCCACAUCGGGUGAGCAUGAGCUCUGCUGGGUAAAACACGAGCCCAGCAGUUUCCCGGGUAGAAGAAAUUUGAUGCCAAUUCUGCACACCCAAAUUCCUGGCAGAUUAAUCAGCAAGUAGUACAGAGAGCUGCUUUCUUUAAAAAGCUUCAUUUAUCACUCAAACUGUGAAUGCUGAGAUGCCAAGGCACUGUGGAAAAAUGAUCCUUUAGAGAGGAAAAAAUCCUCCUGAAAAAGAAGCUGGGACCUAUGAGCUCCAAGAAUUGUGCUCAUUGCAGCGUCUUGCUUGUUUUGUUUAAAUUGUAUCUUCAGAGGACAAGGUCUAAGAAAUAACUUUUUUUGGCAUAAGUGACUUCAGAAUGAAAAAUUUUAAAUAUGUAAUUGGAAUGGUUUCAAGAUGACUUAAUUAUUAGUAAAUAGCUAACAUCUGUAUCUCAGAUAUUGUUUUGUGGAAGGAGAAGAUGAACUUGCUUGCUAACAGGCCAACUAAAAUAAAAUUGGGAGGAUGGCAGUGUGCACCCCAAAAAUAUGUUACCAAAAAAUUAUUUACUGGGGUGCCUGGGUUGCUCAGUCAGUUAAGUGUCCAACUUAGGCUCAGGUUAUGAUCUCACAGUUUGUGAAUUCGAGCCCUGCAUUGGGCUCUGUGCUGACAGCUCGGAGCCUGGAGCUUGCUUCAGAUUCCGUGUCUCCCUCUCUCUCUGCCCCUCCUCUGCUUGUGCUCUGUCUGUCUUUCUCUCUCUCUCAAAAAUAAAUAAACAUUAAAAAAACAAAAAAAAAUUAUUUACUAAGGCUAGGAGUCUUGGAGAAGGGAUUCUUUUUUUCCAAUUUGUAUUUACUUUAGAAUCCUGGCUCCUGAACCAAGUUCCCUUUUGCUGAAAGUUAAUACAAUAUAAAGGAGAGCUGUAGGCUGUGAAAAACAAUUGUGUAGGAAGUUGUAAGGCCCAGGGUUGAGAGACUGGCAGACAGCAGUGUAUCAGUCAGGCUCUAAGUAGGAAAACAGAAACCACUCUAAGUAUUUGGACAGAGGGAAUCCAACGCAGGGAAUCUGUGACACACUCAGAGACCAGCAUCAGAGAAAGCCACUGCCAAAUGUCAUCAGAUACAGCUUUUAAAAUAAUGUUCAAGGAGGGGUGCCUAGAUGGCCCAGUCAGCUAAGCAUCUGUCUUCAGCUUGGGUCAUGAUCUCAUGAUUCAUGGAUUUGAACCCCACAUUGGGUUCACUGCUGUCAGUGCAGUGCCUCCUUUGGAUCCUCUGUCUCCUUCUCUCUCUGCCCCUCCCUCACACACUCUUUCUCUCUCCCUCCCUCUCUCUCUCUCUAUCCCUUCCUCUCUCCCUCCCUCCCUCUCUCAAAGAUAGGGAUCCUCUGUCUCCUUCUCUCUCUGCCCCUCCCUCACACACUCUUUCUCUCUCCCUCCCUCUCUCUCUCUCUAUCCCUCCCUCUCCCUCCCUCUCUCAAAGAUAAAUAAAUAUUUAAAAAUUAAUAAAUAAAAUAAUGUUCAAGGAAAGUAAAGACAAAUUUGAGAACUUGGCAUACUAUAAAAAAGAAAACAAAUGGAAAGUCUCAAACUGAAAAACAGACUAUCUAUUUAAUGGCAGAUUACACAGCUAACGAGAGACUUAGUGAACUAAAAUAUAAGUUAUAUCCAGAAUGAAGCCUGGGCAGGGAGUCGGGGACGGAGGGAUGGAAAUGGCAGGUUAAUAGACAUAGGAGAUAUGGUGAUAAGGUCUAACAUGCCUUUAUUGGAGUCACAGAAGGAAACAGAAAGCGAAGGGAUUAGAGAUAACAUUUGGGCACACAAACAGCUGAGAAUUUACCAAAACUGAAGAUACAAAUCCACAAAUUUAAAAGCCCAAAGAAUCUGAAGCAGCAUUACUAGGGGAAAAAUCCACAUCCAAACAUAACAUAGUAAAACUGGAAUAAAUCAAAGACACAGAAAAAAACUUAACAAUGCAUUAAACAGGAGGAUGAGCAGCUGACUGCUCACCAGCCAGUGUGGCAGUCAGAAAUUGGUGGCUUGAUGCCUCCAAUGUGACAAAAGGAUAUGACACUCAACUUAGAAUUAUAUUCCUAGAAAAAAAUAUCUUUUAAGAAUGAAAGUGGAAUAAAGCUAUGUUUAGGCAAACAAAAAUUGGAAGGUGUUAGUUACCAUUAACAGGAUAGAAUGUCAUACAGUAUAUUUUUUGAGACAGAAGGAAAAUAACCCCACAUGGGAAGUUGAAGAGGCAGAGAAAAAAAUAGUAAAUAUGUGGAUAAAUCUCAAUAACUAUUUGGUAUAGAGAACAAUAAUAAUGCAUUUCGACACGUAUCUGUAUACUUUAUAUAUACAUAAUUAAAUUCACAAAAACAAUAGCAUAUAAAAUGAGACAUAAAUGAGGUUACAGUAUUCUAAGAUCCUUUCAUUGUCUAGUAUGAAGAUAAAAUUCCAAUUAGAAUUAGGUUUUUGUAAAUCAAGAAUGGAUCUUCUAAUUCCUUGGCCAUUAAAAGAAGAGAAAAAGUGUAUAACUUCCAAACCAAUAGAAGGAAAGCCUGAAUAAUAGGCUAAUUGUAGUAGAAUCCUAACAGAAUUCUAACCCGAUCUUUAAGCAAAAGGCAUUACUACAGAUAGAGGCUUACUUCAUAAAAUUUCAAUUCACCAGGAAGAUAUGACAAUUCUAUAUAUUUUUAAAUUGUUUUAAUGUUUUAUUUUUAUUUUUGAGAGAAAGAGACCUAUACAGAGAGGGAGACCUAGACUCUGAAGCAGGCUCCAGGCUCUGAGCUGUCAGUGCAGAGACGGACCUGGGGCUUGAACCCACAAACUGUGAGAUCAUGACCUGAGCUGAAGUCAGACAGUUAACCAACUGAACCACCUAGGUGCCCCGACAAUUCCAUAUUUGCAUGCAUCUGGUAACAUGGCCUCAAAUAUAUAAAGUAAAAUUCAUAGAACUAUAAGUAGAAAUGUAUAACUCAACAAUUACUUCAUUAAUUGAUAGAACAAGCAGAUAAAAAUCCAUUAAGAGCUGAGAAGAUCUGAACAAUACAUUACAAACUUGAUCAAAUGGCUUUAUCUAGAUCAGUGCACCCAGCAUCUCCAGAACACAUUCUUUUCGAGUGCCAGUGGAAACCUCACUGAGAUCAAACAUGUGCUGGGCCAUAAGCAAAUCUCAACAAAUUUCAAAGGACAACAAUCAUACAGUCUGUUUUCUGACCAUAAUGCAAUCAUAAACUAUAACUAGGAAGUCCUUGUACAUUUAAAGUUUUUAAAGUACGUUUCUAAAUAAUCUAUGGCAUCUGUUGUGACUUUGUGCUUUCUGUUUUUUCUUCUUUAUUACAUCAGAGAUUUGUCAAUUUUAGCAUUCUUUCCAAAAUACUAACCUUGACUUUUGAUCCUUUCUAUUGUGUUGUUCUCAGUUUCAUUAAUUUUUGCUCUUGUUUUUGUUAUCUCCUUCCUUUAACUUAAAAAAAAAAGACAGAAUUUAAAAAACAGAUCAUUAGUAAAUUUAAUAAUAAUGUUUCUAUAGAGAUUUGCAAAAUGCAAAAUGCUUUUUCAUGAAUCCUUAAAGCAACCCUAUGAGUUGGGUCUUUCCCCUCAUUUUACAGAUGGGAAAAUUAUAGACUGGAAAAGAAAUAAAUUAUAAUUGUUGCAUUCACUGGAAUACUGGCCCUAAGGUUUACAUCCAAGACCAGAGGAAUUUCUCCUGCUCUCCUCCAGGGCUUUGCCCUGUCAACUCCAGGACCUCCUCUUAGCCUUUGAGAUCUUAAGGGACACUCACCCCCAAACAUCCAUGGUUACGAUGGUAGAGGCUUGGCUCCCACCAACCCUUUCUGCAUUAAUCUCUAGUCCAUCUAUUUCUAGGAAAACACAGGGAGGUGGGGGGGAGCAAAAUGCAUAUAGAUGAGUGGGCAGGCUGCCUAAGCUGGAGAAGCAAGUGUGAAGCAGCCUUUGUCCUACCCAACACUCUUAGUCACUGGAGUAGAGCUGGAGGCUUCUUCUGCUGACCCCUUUUCCAGCUUGAAAAAGCAAAGCAUGCUUGCUUAGAAACAAUGGAUUGCUUGCUUAGAAGCAAGAUACUGCUGACUAACCAAAUCCAAUCAUUUUUCUGGAAUCUCAUCGUAGGUUGCAUCUGUGUGUGGGCUGGUCCUAGGGAGAUUUUCUUGGCUUUCAGAUGGGCUGCCUUCCACUACCUGAGCAUCCUGUUGCUGGAGUCCUGGGACCAGGGGCCACCACAUGGCGAGACUUUCUUCACACACCUUUAUGCUAAAGCUUCUCAUUCCAGGCACACUUCUGAGGGCUCUAAUAACACUAACUUCUCCAAGCCUCAUUACAAUCUAGGAGGUUGCUGCUAUUAUUAUUCCAAAAAGAGAUAGCUGAGGACACAUAACAUAAAACAGAAGACUUAAUUACUUGCCUAAAGUCAUCUGGGAGUAAGUGAAAGAAUCCUUAUUUGCAUCUGGGCUUCAUGGUUGAAAGAUCAUGUUUUGGUCACUACACUUUGUAGUCUCUCUACAAGGGAUUCACACAAACUCCUUCCUGAGCAUAACUGAUACUAUCCACAACCUGAGAAGAACGCCCAGGGCUAAAUGGGAACACUCAGUAGAAAGAAGAAUUGAGUUAAAAUUUGUGAUUUCCUUCUCCAUGUCUCCAUCCUGAAGCACUCAGCUGAGGCUGGAGAAAAAGCAUGAGAAACCUCCCAGCCCAAGUAAUCCCCUGGAAGCAAUUGUACCCAAUUUCUCAAAGUCCUGAUGCAGACUUCAGGUCCCCACUGUCUGUCCUCAUCUAACUGGUCCUCAGUUGACCCUCUCUCCUUUUUGAAUCCCAUGAACGAAAAGUUCCCUUGCAUUGCAUGACUGUGGUACUCAGUACCAUUUCACCCCUAGAGUCUCUAUACAUAAAUACAGAUGAAAUUAUUUUUCAAGCUUUCACUUUCAAAUUCACUAAUAGAAACAGAGAGUACAUGUCUAUGGAAGGCUUUUCCAUACUCACUGUUAAUUAAGGUUUCCCCUUCCUGCUUCCCCCCAGCUUCUCUCUCCUCUAUCUUCUUGCUUCUCCUCCUUCGAGUUCCCUGAAGACUGAACUCACUCCAUAGUCUUUCCCAAACUUCCCACAUGUAUAAGUUGUGAGACCUUUAGUAAGUUUUGGUAAGUUACAUUUUUUUUUGCAAUUUUUUCAUUUCACAUUAAUAUUUAUAACUUAUUGUAAUGAAAUUGUAAUAUCUUACUGUUUUAAUACUGGUAGCAUUUAUAACAUCAAACUUUAGAAACUCUGAGACUUCAUGGGGCGCCUGGGUGGUUCAGUCAGUUAGGUGGCUGGCUUUGGCCCAGGUCAUGAUCUCACAGCUCAAAUGAAGGCUCCUGAGUUCAGGCCUGCAUCAGGCUCUGUGCUGACAGCUUAGAGCCUGGAGCCUGCUUUAUUCUGUGUCUCCCUCUGUCUCUGCCCCUCCCCUGCUUUCCCUCUCUCUCCUAAAAAUAAACAUUAAGAAAAAAAAAUUAAAAAAAAAAAUAAUUCUCUGAGGCUUCAAGCUACAAAGGAAAUGGGUGCUUUAUUCAAAUGGUUGCAACAGGGAAAGUUCUUACAGGAACUGUUUCUCCAAACAUGGGAAUGAGAGGGGUUUUAUAGGGGAAAUAAACAAAAGCAAAUGUCCACAGCAGUUUUGGUGAGCUUUGGUCAUGUAGGUGUCACAAUCUUUCAGAAGUGAGUUGUGUUUCUUUGUGAUUUGGCUCAUCUUAUGUUAACAUUCUGUUCUCAUAAUUGUUGACUCAAGGAAUUUAGAGGGAGUGGGUUAUUCUCUCAGAAUCAGGGAGUCAGGGGGUCAGUGCAGAUUCAGAGAAGAAAAAUUUUGUAGUUCUCCUUAUUCCCCCCUUUUUAUUCCUGACUUUGGUUAUUUUUCUUUUUUCCUUAAUCAGUCUCACCAGAAGUUUGUCAGUUUUAUUGUUAGUCUUUUCCGAAAUACACAAACACACACACACACACAUUUGAUUUUGUUGAUCCUCUAUAUAUUGUAUAUUUGUUUUUCUCUUUCAUAAAUGUCUACCUUUUAUUACUUUCCUAUUUUAACACUUUUGGGAUUUAUUCUUAUUGUUCUGUUUGAGAUGGUGCUUAUGUGAUUAAUUACUAGGUUUUCUGAUUUUCUUAAAUAUCUUUUUAGGCUAUAAGUGUUUCUCUAAGCCCUGCUUAAGCAACAUCUCACUGGUCUUGAUAUGCAGUAUUCAGUUCAAAGUAUUUUCUUCCUUGGAACCAUGAUUAACAAAAGUAUUUAUAGGGGCACCUGGUUGGCUCAGUCAGUUGAGCAUUUGACUUCAGCUCAGGUCAUGACCUCACAUCUCAUUGAGUUCAACCCCCAUAUUGGGCUCACUGCUCUCAGUGCAGUGCCUGCUUGGAUCCUCUGCCCCCCUCUGUCUCUGUCCCUCCCCUGCUCAUACUCUCUCUCUCAAAAAUAAAUAAAACAUUAAAAAUUAUUUAUAAAUUUCUCAAUAUAAUGGGGACGUCCUAAGUAUCUUUUUAUUAUUAAUUUCUAAGUUAUACUCAAGGGAACAAAUUCUGUAUAUUUUCAGUUCUUUAAAAUUUGUUGAGGUUUACUUUAUGGUCCAGCAUAUGGUCAGUUUUUUUCCCCCAGCUUCACUGAGAUAAAAUUUAUAUGUAGCUCAUGUAGAUCAAUUUUUGAAAGUUUAAUGUGGGCUUGGAAAAAAAUAUGUAUCCUUAAUACAUCGGUGCAGUGUUCCAUGUAUAUAUCCAUUAGAUUGCUUGUUAAAUCAUAGUGUUAAAAUCUGUAACUUUACUAAUGUUUAGCAUUCUUGUCCUAUUAAUUACUGAGAGAGAGGUAUCAAAAAUCUCUCAUCGUGAUUAUGGAUUUUAUAUUUCUCCUUUCAGUUCUGCAUAUAUUUGCUAACUCUUGAGCUAUGGUAUUAGGUAGAUGCUAACUUACAACUGUAUGUCUUCCCAGCAUUUUCUCUUCCCUGGACUUUUGUCUUUUUUGAAAAAAAAAAUUUUUUUAACAUUUAUUCAUUUUUGAAAACAGACAGAGACAGAGUGCGAGCAGGGGAGGGGCAGAGAGACACAGAAUCUGAAGCAGGCUCCAGGUUCUGAGCUGUCAGCACAGAGCCUGACACGGGGCUCAAGCUCACAAAUCAUGAGACCAUGACCUAAGCCAAAGUCGAACGCUCAACCGACUGAGCCACCCAGGCACCCCACCUUUUGUCUUAAUGUAAUGAUUCCCUUUAUCUUCAGGAAUAUUUUGUGCCUUAAAGUAUGUAUUUCAUCUAAUAUUAGCAGAGCCACAGCAGUUUCUAUUGGUUACUAUUUCAAAUAACUUCCUCCCAUUCUUUUACUUUCAAAUGUUGUUAUGUCCUCAUAUUUAAGGUGAGUCUCUUGUAUGCAGCAUAGCAUGGGGUUUUAUGUUUUUGUCCUGUCUACUAUAGGGUGAAUGUUUGCAUUCCCCCAAGAUUCACAUUUGGAAUCCUAAUGCUCAGUGUCUGAGUGUUAGGAAGUUGGGUGUUUGUGAAGUUAUUAAGUCAUGGGAGUGGUGCCCUGAUGCAUUAGUGCUAUUACACUAGACACUCCCCCGCCACUUCCCAAUGAACUUCCUAGACCUUUCCACAAUGUGAGGGUACAAUUAGAAAUCUGAAAUUUGCAAGAGUCCUCACCCAACCAUGCUGAUCUCCAACCACUCUGAUCUUGGACUUCCAGCUUCUAGAACAGUGAGAAAUACAUUUCUGUUGUUGAUAAGCUACCCAGUCUGUAGCAUUUUGUUACAGUGGCCUGAACAGACCAAGACAUUGUCUGAAAAUCUUUGUUAUUUAAAUUAAAUGGAAAUAUUAACAUUUUGGCUUAAGAUCUACUUUUUUUCCCUUCUCCUACCCAUUUUUUUACUUUCCUUUUAAUUUUUAAAAUUUCAUUUUUGCUUUACUAGUA